RNAcentral lists this ribosomal RNA (468 nucleotides) under uncultured bacterium. RNAcentral describes it as "partial 16S ribosomal RNA". It matches the Rfam family "Bacterial small subunit ribosomal RNA", at positions 28 to 507 of the family's 1533-position model. The record is from RNAcentral.
GAUGAACGCUGGCGGCGUGCUUAACACAUGCAAGUCGAACGGAAAGGCCCAAGCUUGCUUGGGUACUCGAGUGGCGAACGGGUGAGUAACACGUGGGUGAUCUGCCCUGCACUUCGGGAUAAGCCUGGGAAACUGGGUCUAAUACCGGAUAGGACGAUGGUUUGGAUGCCAUUGUGGAAAGUUUUUUCGGUGUGGGAUGAGCUCGCGGCCUAUCAGCUUGUUGGUGGGGUAAUGGCCUACCGAGGCGUCGACGGGUAGCCGGCCUGAGAGGGUGUACGGCCACAGUGGGACUGAGAUACGGCCCAGACUCCUACGGGAGGCAGCAGUGGGGAAUAUUGCACAAUGGGCGCAAGCCUGAUGCAGCGACGCCGCGUGGGGGAUGACGGCCUUCGGGUUGUAAACUCCUUUCGCUAGGGACGAAGCGUUUUUGUGACGGUACCUGGAGAAGAAGCACCGGCUAACUACGUG